ACACGAUUUCUAUCUCUAGGUUUUGAAGAAUCAAUACCAUUGUGAUAAAUGUGGAAUCUGCAGAACUGGAGGCAAAGAGAACUUUUUCCAUUGUAAUAAAUGUGGUUGUUGCUAUUCAAGGUUGAUGAAGGAUUCGCAUAUCUGCAUAGAAAAAGCAAUGCACCAUAAUUGCCCUGUUUGUUUUGAGUAUCUUUUUGAGACAA
Molecule: non-coding RNA, 203 nt
Organism: Camellia sinensis
Lineage: Eukaryota; Viridiplantae; Streptophyta; Magnoliopsida; Ericales; Theaceae
Source: RefSeq, a predicted model, not a curated record